UAUACAGGGUCAAAGGUAGUGAGCUUCAUUUCCUUAAAGAAUAAUAGAAGGAACCCUAUGUUAAUGAGGAGCACAAGCAAUAGCAUCCAUACAGCCUUUGGCAAUGUAAUGGAAAGAAAUGUCCAUCUAUCCCAAGGAACAAAAGCAAUUUCUCCCAUUAAUACGUGCUCCACAUCUAAAUGGACAUUACCCGCAAAUAAAGUAAUGAGGAGCACACCGGCUGCAAACAAGGACGUAAAGACCACACCAAUAGCUGCGUCCUCCUGUAUACCUGAAGAAUGUAGCAAUUGCACUAGGUAGGCUGUUAAAAUCCCUGCUACUGCUGCACCGACUAGCAUCCAAAAACCAUUUAAUGUUUGGGUAAUAAUAUACGCCAUUACAAUACCAAACAAUACGGUAUGGCUAAUCGCAUCAGCAAUCAUUGACAUUCUACGCAAG
This 438-nucleotide ribosomal RNA is filed under the name bacterium. RNAcentral's name for it is "partial 16S ribosomal RNA". The record is from RNAcentral.